This 286-nucleotide ribosomal RNA is filed under the name uncultured bacterium. RNAcentral's name for it is "partial 16S ribosomal RNA". It matches the Rfam family "Bacterial small subunit ribosomal RNA", at positions 335 to 638 of the family's 1533-position model. The record is from RNAcentral.
CUCCCUACGGGAGGCAGCAGUGGGGAAUAUUGCGCAAUGGGGGCAACCCUGACGCAGCAACGCCGCGUGCGGGACGAAGGCCUUCGGGUUGUACACCGCUUUCAGCCGGGAAGAACCAUGACGGUACCUGCAGAAGAGGCCCCGGCUAACUACGUGCCAGCAGCCGCGGUAAUACGUAGGGGGCGAGCGUUAUCCGGAUUCAUUGGGCGUAAAGCGCGCGUAGGCGGCCCGCUACGCGGGACCUCUAACCUGGGGGCUCAACCUCCAGCCGGGUCCCGACCUGGCG